Molecule: ribosomal RNA, 289 nt
Filed under: uncultured Erythrobacteraceae bacterium
Lineage: Bacteria; Pseudomonadati; Pseudomonadota; Alphaproteobacteria; Sphingomonadales; Erythrobacteraceae
Description: partial 16S ribosomal RNA
Source: RNAcentral
CUACCAGGGUUUCUAAUCCUGUUUGCUCCCCACGCUUUCGCACCUCAGCGUCAAUACCUGUCCAGCGAGUCGCCUUCGCCACUGGUGUUCUUCCGAAUAUCUACGAAUUUCACCUCUACACUCGGAAUUCCACUCGCCUCUCCAGGAUUCUAGCCUAGCAGUUUCAAAGGCAGUUCCGGGGUUGAGCCCCGGGAUUUCACCCCUGACUUGCUGAGCCGCCUACGCGCGCUUUACGCCCAGUAAUUCCGAACAACGCUAGCUCCCUCCGUAUUACCGCGGCUGCUGGCAC